CUCUCUUGUUGCUCUAAAGUACUUCUGGUUUCCUUGCAAGUCUGGCCUAGAGGUAAAUAACAUCUUAUUAAAUGAUUUAAUAUGAAAGCAUAUUGAUACAAAGUAGCAUUCUUAGUUUGGGGUAAAGUGCAGCAGCAACUCAGACUCCUCAUGAACAGCUGUGAUGUACAGGUCAACCCAGACUCCUCAUUAACAGCUGUGAUAUACAGGUCAACCCAGACUCCUCAUUAACAGCUGUGAUGUACAGGUCAACCCAGACUCCUCAUUAACAGCUGUGAUGUACAGGUCAACCCAGACUCCUCAUUAACAGCUGUGAUGUACAGGUCAACCCAGACUCCUCAUUAACAGCUGUGAUGUACAGGUC
RNAcentral lists this long non-coding RNA (364 nucleotides) under Salmo salar (Atlantic salmon). RNAcentral describes it as "lncRNA (ENSSSAG00000104382.1)". The record is from RNAcentral. Lineage: Eukaryota; Metazoa; Chordata; Actinopteri; Salmoniformes; Salmonidae.